GCGGCCGUGGUCCAGCCUGGUCUAAGCUUUGCAAGCUGCCAAGAGGACUCAGGCCUUCCAAGCCUGUAGCGCGGGUUCAAAUCCCGCCGGCCGCACCA
This 98-nucleotide transfer RNA is filed under the name Hadarchaeum yellowstonense (SeqCode). Its description in RNAcentral is "tRNA-Gly". It matches the Rfam family "tRNA". Rfam says of the family: Transfer RNA (tRNA) molecules are approximately 80 nucleotides in length. Their secondary structure includes four short double-helical elements and three loops (D, anti-codon, and T loops). The record is from RNAcentral. Lineage: Archaea; Methanobacteriati; Hadarchaeota (SeqCode); Hadarchaeia (SeqCode); Hadarchaeales (SeqCode); Hadarchaeaceae (SeqCode). RNAcentral also lists the same sequence under 1 other name.